ACCUCCUUUCUGUCGUCCAUACUUGGUGUAGCUCUCCCGCUCAAUUAGAGUAAUCAGUGUUUUCCGUGUCCUUUUCUUUAGAUGUUGUAGGUACUUCUCUGGUACUUCUACUAGUUUGCGGGACGUCAUCUCGCUCGGCUCGAACUGAGGCCGCCACAAAUACUGCUCCCUGGUGGCUGUCGCCAACUCAGGUCAAAAACUCUGUCUCCCCCAUUCAUUCUAGUUGGGGCAGUGGUCCGACUUUAAAAAAUAAGUACACGUUUUACGAAUGUAUCUGACAUCCGUAUGCUGUGGUGAUAUGUUGUUAUUAUUUGACUGUUUUGUGUUCAAGGCCUCUUUUUUUCUGAAAAGUUUCUUUUUCGUUAGUUAUUAGAGGUUAAAAAACGGGGUUUUAUAUUCUGAUUUACUUUGAUUGACUGCCAUUCUUGCAUAGUUCCUUCAUGAAUAGCAACAUUAAGGAGCCGGGAGGAUGUUAAACUUCUGUCCGUUCAUGACUUUCGCUGAACUGGAAAACAAAGUUGUUUUUGCUGUGGAUUGAUCUCGCUGACCUGCGGGAUCUAAGGGAUUGCUGAAGAUCUUUGGUUUCCCUCCAGGUGAAGGUGAUGCAGGCUGAGGCAGUGGAUGACGAACAUGACGGAAGCCCUGGACACCUUUACCAUCAUCUCAUCUGUGCAGUGCUUCUUCAGAAGAGCAUGACUUCACCACAGACUCACAGGUGCACUGGAUGCUGUAUCUGCAGUCAAACAGCAGCCGGGAGCAGGAAGUUCAGAAGCUUGAAACGGGAUGGCCUCACAGGGGGUUAUUCAACUAUUAGCAUCUAUGCUGGUGUAGCUACUGGUCUAAGUCACAUAAUGUCAAUUUUAUGAUUGUAAAUUGACUGAUUCCUGCUCCUCAACUGUGAAUAUUUUUGGUUUCCUGAUUCCUUUAUGACAGUAAAAUUAAUAUCUUGGGGUCGUGGACAAAACAGGGCAUUCGAGGUUGUCACCUUUGGCUUUGGGAAACCCUGGCUGGCCCUUUUCACCCUUUUAUAACAUAUUAAAACAGUUGUUCAUUGAGAAAGUAAUUCACCCAUUACUGGUCACGCGAAAAUCAUUAGUUGCAGCACUUCUCAUACUCAACCGCAUUACUGUGGUAAAUGCUUUACUUUUUACUGCUCCUCACCACCAUUGACUUUUAUCAUUAAGAAUAACAUGUUUCAUAUGGUAUGAUGCAGUACUGUGCCCCUAACCGACACAGAGAAUCUAAAUUAGCUCCAGAUUAAUAAAGUAUUCAUACGAAAAGUUUUGAGGAAAACACUGAGUACUACAAACACAACUUUAGAGGUAUACAGAGUUUACAGAGUAUUUUUACUUUUUGAUUUAUGUGUUUACUCCUGCGAGAUCAAUGCACAUUAGGUCAUUAGCCUGUAGUCAGUGCAUCUUUCCACAUUUGUUUACAGUUGUCUUUGAUGUAACUCUGCAGUCAUUCAAAUACAGUCACGUUAAUAGUACCCUAUUCUAUUCAUGUAACUGUGUUGUGUGAGAAUAAAUCUUGCAAAGAAAAGUCA
Molecule: long non-coding RNA, 1546 nt
Organism: Notolabrus celidotus (New Zealand spotty)
Lineage: Eukaryota; Metazoa; Chordata; Actinopteri; Labriformes; Labridae
Exons: 3
Source: RefSeq, a predicted model, not a curated record